CGUGCCCAACACGGGCGCCCAAGGCUUAAGGGCUGAGAUCGUGCUAAUGCCGCACGAGCACCGUUUGAACCUGUCUGGUUAGCACCAGCGAAGGAAGUAGAAGGAGCGGCAAU
Molecule: non-coding RNA, 113 nt
Filed under: Corynebacterium riegelii
Lineage: Bacteria; Bacillati; Actinomycetota; Actinomycetes; Mycobacteriales; Corynebacteriaceae
Description: TPP sequence
Rfam family: TPP riboswitch aptamer (THI element)
About the family: Vitamin B(1) in its active form thiamin pyrophosphate (TPP) is an essential coenzyme that is synthesised by coupling of pyrimidine and thiazole moieties in bacteria. The previously detected thiamin-regulatory element, thi box was extended, resulting in a new, highly conserved RNA secondary structure, the THI element, which is widely distributed in eubacteria and also occurs in some archaea. Analysis of operon structures identified a large number of new candidate thiamin-regulated genes, mostly transporters, in various prokaryotic organisms.
Source: Rfam by way of RNAcentral